UGAACGCUGGCGGCAGGCCUAACACAUGCAAGUCGAGCGGAUGAAGGGAGCUUGCUCCUGGAUUCAGCGGCGGACGGGUGAGUAAUGCCUAGGAAUCUGCCUGGUAGUGGGGGAUAACGUCCGGAAACGGGCGCUAAUACCGCAUACGUCCUGAGGGGGAAAGUGGGGGAUCUUCGGACCUCACGCUAUCAGAUGAGCCUAGGUCGGAUUAGCUAGUUGGUGGGGUAAAGGCCUACCAAGGCGACGAUCCGUAACUGGUCUGAGAGGAUGAUCAGUCACACUGGAACUGAGACACGGUCCAGACUCCUACGGGAGGCAGCAGUGGGGAAUAUUGGACAAUGGGCGAAAGCCUGAUCCAGCCAUGCCGCGUGUGUGAAGAAGGUCUUCGGAUUGUAAAGCACUUUAAGUUGGGAGGAAGGGCAGUAAGUUAAUACCUUGCUGUUUUGACGUUACCAACAGAAUAAGCACCGGCUAACUUCGUG
Molecule: ribosomal RNA, 482 nt
Filed under: uncultured bacterium
Lineage: Bacteria
Description: partial 16S ribosomal RNA
Rfam family: Bacterial small subunit ribosomal RNA
Source: RNAcentral